AGCUCCAAUAGCGUAUAUUAAAGUUGUUGCGGUUAAAAAGCUCGUAGUUGGAUUUUGGGCUCGAUUUUGUUAGGCGAGUGUAAACUCGAACUGACAGAACGGGCCUUCUGUCUGGAGGUGGCGUUCGUCAACUUCAUUGGGGCGGAUGCCACGUCUAGGACUUUUACUUUGAACAAAUUAGAGUGUUUAAAGCAGGCAAUUCGCCUUGAAUACAUUAGCAUGGAAUAACCGAAUAGGACUUUGGUUCUAUUUUGUUGGUUUUAAGAACUGAAGUAAUGAUUAAUAGGGACAGUUGGGGGCAUUCGUAUUUAAUUGUCAGAGGUGAAAUUCUUAGAUUUAUUGAAGACGAACUUCUGCGAAAGCAUUUGCCAAGGAUGUUUUCAUUAAUCAAGAACGAAAG
RNAcentral lists this ribosomal RNA (400 nucleotides) under phytoplankton environmental sample. RNAcentral's name for it is "partial small subunit ribosomal RNA". It matches the Rfam family "Eukaryotic small subunit ribosomal RNA", at positions 587 to 989 of the family's 1831-position model. The record is from RNAcentral.